GGGGAGAGGGAUCAAACUGACGUGCGAAGCAGGGUAGCCAGGCCGGGCUCUAGAGUAGCCCCUUCCUCCUCGCCUCGUCAGCCCUGAGGCUACCCUCGUGGGGAAAGUGGGGGCUCAACGGUCUCGUCUUUUACGAAGCAGAUGGACUCCUGGACUCUAGGGCCUCGAACUGUUUGGGAGACUGAUGGGCAGGAGCCUUAUGCAGCCGGAGGGCCGGCGGUCAGUCAGUGGGCUUGGCCCGCGCUGGCGUCUGGCCCAGCUGUCGAAGCUCGGCUGGUCCAAGCUUGCUGCUGGCCCGGAGCUAACUGGGUCCCCUGAUGGCUGGGAUGAAGAGUGCAAUGCAUGUUUCAAAGAGGGCAUGCUUCCUUCACCUGGGUCCCAGGAUGGUGGAACAAAGCUGAAGAUGACUGUGAUUGACAAACAUGAAGAGAAAUAAACCUUACUGUAAGUAAUUUCAACUGGGGGGGUUAUUACCUUAGAAUGACUUAGGUUGAUCAGUGUAUUGCCCAAACUGAAUGAAGACAAACCAUGAGACUAGUAUUAAUUACGAGUAUUUGAGAACUGUAAAAGAUAGGCAGUUGACCUCUAGAGCAGUUGAAACUGAAUACCACUGAAAGGACAAUCAGAAUAUUCUCAUAUUCAGAAUAGGCAUUCUCUUUCAGAGACGAUGAAAACCAGAGUUCAAGUAAGAGAUGUUUGAUUGGUAUUUCAACAUGCCAUACAUUUUGGGACACUCUUAACUGUAGGAAAUCAUUGGUGGUUAAAUUAUGAGCUCCAUAUAAAUUAUGCUAUGUUGGUUUUAUGUUACUAAAUCUAAUAUUGGGUUAACAUUUGAAAUUUGUCAUAUUUUCUAAGCUCUGAAAAAGAAAAAUGAACCUGGAUUUUUGUCUCUAUGCUCAUCAAAUGGUAACAUCAUAUUGCUAAUUUGGGAAAUAAUUACUAAACUCUACUAAAAUCAUUGUUCAUGGAGCUAAAUCCAAAAUUCAGACAUUUGGGGAAAAAAAGAGUCCACAGCAAUGUAUUUUGAUGUUCUUGGGUAAAGAGGAAUCAGUAUUCAUCCUCAGUAUAGAUUGGAUUCCUUCAAACUAUCUUUACUUUUCAAGCAUCUAACAUUCACAGUUAGCAUGUGAGUCCCUCUAUCUAAUAAAAAGUCACAAGAGGCAGCUCUACACAAGAAAGAUUGAUUUGUGAUAUGCUGCUUCUCAUAAUGACACCACCAUGUGGUAUGUUCUGAGGUGGAGCUUUAUUCAUAUGCACCCCAGAUAGUAAAACAAACAGUGUAAUGUAUAAAAAGAAAAUCUCUUUAGAAACAACCUAAAUGUUUAUCAAUAGGAGAAUGGAUCAAAAUAACGUGAUAUUUCCACAUAAUGGGGUAAAAUAUAUUAUGUAAAAUUAAUGAUCCUAAAAGUAUCACAUAUUAAAGUGAAUGUUCAAAACCAAGUUAUAGAUGUAUACAUAUAUACACACACACACACACACACAUAUAUAUAUAAUGAUACCAUGAUUAUAAAAUUGUAAAACAUGCAAAAUGAACAUUAUUUAUGAGUUUCAUAUAUGGUUUAAAACAUUUCAAAUGUGUAUAGGAAUGAUUAACAUCAAAUUUAGUGCAGUGGUUAUUAUCUUUGGUUAUAUGUAAUAGCGAAUGGGAUUGAAGAAAUGUACACAGAGCUUCAACUGUAUCUAUAAUGACUGAUUUUUUAAAAAAAUAACUUUAAAAUCUGAAGUGAAUAUGGUACCUGGUUACCUUGAUACACAGGUGUUUGCUAUAUUCUCUCUCUUUUUCUCUGUGUUUGAAAUAUUUCAUGGGGUCCUAUUGUACAGUACAGGGAACUGUGUCCAAUCUCUUGGGUUAGAAGAUGAUGGAAGAUAGUAUGAAAAAGAAAAAAAA
Molecule: long non-coding RNA, 1888 nt
Filed under: Sus scrofa (pig)
Lineage: Eukaryota; Metazoa; Chordata; Mammalia; Artiodactyla; Suidae
Description: lncRNA (ENSSSCG00035010960.1)
Source: RNAcentral